Molecule: long non-coding RNA, 1016 nt
Organism: Oxyura jamaicensis (ruddy duck)
Lineage: Eukaryota; Metazoa; Chordata; Aves; Anseriformes; Anatidae
Exons: 3
Source: RefSeq, a predicted model, not a curated record
AAAGUUUAUAUCAGAAUUGAAAAAAAAAAAAAGAGAUUUUAAAACAAUAAUUAAGUCAAUUUGUUCUUGUUCAACACAGGGUGGACAUGGAGAAGAGUGAUCAGCUCAUAACCUUCUCUAUUUUAAGACUAUUGAAGUACCCCGCCCAAGCUACCUCCUAAAUUAAAACACACAAUUAUUUUUGCCAAGAGAUUUUCCACUUCCAACAUACCUUGCUAAGAAGAUUCAAUCAGCUAUAAUCUUUAAAGCAGGAACACCAGACUUCCCUCCUCAGUCUUAUAGGACCUCGAUCACACCUGCCAUCGCCUUGUCUGAAAAGCAUCAUUUGGCAAUUUGCGCAGAGUGACGAGCGCCGCGCUGAGCUAGGGGUUAGUUUUUCUGAGACUCCAUCCGGACGUGCAAUUGCAAUGUUUGCUGGACAAGGGUUGUUCAGCUCUGGCUGGACGGCAGCGUCUCCCUGCCCGUGGGUAGGCACGCCAGGCAGACCUCAAACCAACUGAGGGAAACCUGAAAAUCCAAUCUAGCCUUCCGGAAUUUGAUUUGUAGGAAAAUGAGGAACAAGGCUUUACAGAGGGAUUUCAAAUAAAUCAUAAUUAAUUACAUGUGCAAAGGCAUCGACUACAUUGGGGCACACAGUGAACAAAUGAGCAGCAGCUCGGCGAGGCCACCGAUGGGGACCUGCAGCCGUGCCCGGAGCCUGCCCAGGUGCUGCUGACUGCUGCCAGCACCCUGCAGCAGCACCUGGGCAGCUCGUUUUCAGUGUUAGGCACCCAUCUGUUUGCUUCUUUUUUUGUUUUGUUUUGUUUUUGUUCUUAAUGGGUCAAAUACACAGUGUCUUGAAAGUGCAUCCAAAAAGAUCUUUCUGGAGUGUCAGUGCAGAACAAAAUACAAUCUUUAUGGGAUAACUGGAGAUAUAAAACUUACAUUCAAUUAAAAGCGGUUUAUACAAUUAGAAAGAAGUGUCUCUCCCAGCUCUCUCCCUUGAGUACUGACAUCCCAUUUAACUCCUCCACAAG